UACGUAGGGGGCGAGCGUUGUCCGGAAUUAUUGGGUUUAAAGGGUCCGUAGGCGGGCAGUUAAGUCAGUGGUGAAAGUCUUCCGCUCAACGGGAGAACUGCCAUUGAUACUGAUUGUCUUGAGUUAUUAUGAAGUGGUUAGAGUGGGUAGUGUAGCGGUGAAAUGCAUAGAUAUUACUCAGAAUACCGAUUGCGAUGGCAGAUCACUAAUAAUAUACUGACGCUGAUGGACGAAAGCGUAGGUAGCGAACAGG
This 253-nucleotide unclassified non-coding RNA is filed under the name uncultured Flavobacteriaceae bacterium. RNAcentral describes it as "contains 16S-23S intergenic spacer region". It matches the Rfam family "Bacterial small subunit ribosomal RNA", at positions 524 to 776 of the family's 1533-position model. The record is from RNAcentral. Lineage: Bacteria; Pseudomonadati; Bacteroidota; Flavobacteriia; Flavobacteriales; Flavobacteriaceae.